CCUACGGGCGGCAGCAGUGAGGAAUAUUGGUCAAUGGACGAGAGUCUGAACCAGCCAAGUAGCGUGAAGGAUGACUGCCCUAUGGGUUGUAAACUUCUUUUAUAUGGGAAUAAAACGUUCCACGUGUGGGAUUUUGUAUGUACCAUAUGAAUAAGGAUCGGCUAACUCCGUGCCAGCAGCCGCGGUAAUACGGAGGAUCCGAGCGUUAUCCGGAUUUAUUGGGUUUAAAGGGAGCGUAGGUGGAUUGUUAAGUCAGUUGUGAAAGUUUGCGGCUCAACCGUAAAAUUGCAGUUGAAACUGGCAGUCUUGAGUACAGUAGAGGUGGGCGGAAUUCGUGGUGUAGCGGUGAAAUGCUUAGAUAUCACGAAGAACUCCGAUUGCGAAGGCAGUUCACUGGACUGCAACUGACACUGAGGCUCGAAAGUGUGGAUAUCAAACAGGAUUAGAUACCCUUGUAGUC
Molecule: ribosomal RNA, 460 nt
Filed under: uncultured bacterium
Lineage: Bacteria
Description: partial 16S ribosomal RNA
Rfam family: Bacterial small subunit ribosomal RNA
Source: RNAcentral